This 253-nucleotide ribosomal RNA is filed under the name uncultured bacterium. RNAcentral describes it as "partial 16S ribosomal RNA". It matches the Rfam family "Bacterial small subunit ribosomal RNA", at positions 524 to 776 of the family's 1533-position model. The record is from RNAcentral.
UACGAACUGUGCGAACGUUAUUCGGAAUCACUGGGCUUACAGGGUGCGUAGGCGGCUAUUCAGGUCAGGUGUGAAAGCCCCCGGCUCAACCGGGGAACUGCGCUUGAAACCGAGUGGCUCGAGUCAGCUAGAGGUACACGGAACUUCCAGUGGAGCGGUGAAAUGUGUUGAUAUUGGAAGGGACACCGGAGGCGAAAGCGGUGUACUGGGGCUGGUCUGACGCUGAGGCACGAAAGCCAGGGGAGCGAACGGG